Molecule: ribosomal RNA, 332 nt
Filed under: uncultured bacterium
Lineage: Bacteria
Description: bacterial SSU rRNA
Rfam family: Bacterial small subunit ribosomal RNA
Source: RNAcentral
CGUGUAGGCGGUCGGGUAAGUCAGAUGUGAAAGCCUUCUGCUUAACAGAAGAAGUGCAUUUGAAACUGCCCGGCUGGAGUACGGGAGAGGAGAGUGGAAUUCCCGGUGUAGAGGUGAAAUUCGUAGAUAUCGGGAGGAACACCAGUGGCGAAGGCGGCUCUCUGGUCCGAUACUGACGCUGAGACGCGAAAGCGUGGGGAGCAAACAGGAUUAGAUACCCUGGUAGUCCACGCCGUAAACGAUGGGCAUUAGGUGUAGGAGGUAUUGACCCCUUCUGUGCCGAAGCUAAUGCAUUAAGUGCCCCGCCUGGGGAGUACGGCCGCAAGGCUAAA